AUGGUAGAGAAGAAGGGAAAUAUCUUGAUGGAGAGAUAUGAGAUGGGAAGACUGCUGGGGCAAGGGAGCUUUGCUAAAGUUUACUAUGGUCGUAGUCUCAAGACUUCACAGAGCGUUGCCAUCAAGGUGAUCGACAAAGAGAAGAUCUUCAAGUGUGGGCUUAUGGAUCAAGUAAGGCGAGAGAUAUCUGUAAUGAAGUUGGUGAAACAUCCAAACAUUGUCCAAUUGUAUGAGGUGAUGGCCACCAAAACCAAGAUAUUUUUUGUGCUAGAGUAUGUGAAGGGGGGCGAGCUGUUCAACAAGGUUCAACGAGGAAGGCUGAAAGAAGAUGUUGCUCGCAAGUACUUCCAACAGCUCAAUAGUGCGGUUGACUUCUGUCACAGCCGAGGCGUCUAUCACCGUGACCUGAAGCCUGAAAAUCUUCUUCUUGAUGAGAACCGCAAUUUAAAGAUCUCUGACUUUGGUCUGAGUGCACUUGCAGAAUGCAAGAGACAAGAUGGGCUGAUUCACACAACUUGUGGUACCCCUGCAUAUGUUGCUCCGGAACUGAUUAGUAAGAAAGGAUAUGAUGGUGCAAAAGCUGACAUCUGGGCUUGUGGAGUCAUCUUGUAUGUAUUGUUGGCUGGUUAUCUCCCUUUUCAGGACAAGAAUUUGAUGGACAUGUAUAAGAAGAUUUACAAAGCAGAACUCAAAUGGCCAAGCUGGUUUUCUUCAGAUGCCCGGAGGCUUCUGAGGCGUAUUCUUGAUCCGAACCCCGGUACACGGAUCUCCUUUUCAGAGAUCUUGGACAAUUCUUGGUUCCGGACAGGCCUUGACAAGGGACUGAUUAGCUAUAACACACCAACGGAGGGCAUUGUUGCUGUUGACAUGGAUCCGACUUGUGAUCCAUUCAGUAGCUGUACAACCGAGACAAUACAAGAAGCAACAGAGCUCACUAACUUGAAUGCUUUUGACAUCAUUUCUCUUUCUUCUGGGUUUGAUCUCUCUGGCAUGUUUGAGGAUAAGUCCAACAAAGAGUCCAAAUUCACAUCUACCAACACAGCUGCAACAAUCAUCACAAAGCUUGAAGAUAUUGCAAAGCGCUUGCGGCUAAGACUCAUGAAGAGAGACGGUGGGUUGUUGAAGAUGCAGAGCUUGCAACCGGGAAGGAAAGGCGUAAUGUCCAUAGAUACCGAGAUAUUUCAGAUUGCACCAAAUUUUCAUCUGGUGGAAAUCAGGAAGACCAAUGGUGAUACUCUCGAGUAUCAGAAGGUUAAACAUGAUAUGAGACCGGCUUUGAAAGACAUUGUUUGGGCUUGGCAAGGUGAGCAGCCCUAG
RNAcentral lists this ribosomal RNA (1317 nucleotides) under Triticum aestivum (bread wheat). RNAcentral describes it as "partial small subunit ribosomal RNA". The record is from RNAcentral. Lineage: Eukaryota; Viridiplantae; Streptophyta; Magnoliopsida; Poales; Poaceae.